Long non-coding RNA from Paramormyrops kingsleyae, 2161 nucleotides. RefSeq lists it as uncharacterized. NCBI's taxonomy places the organism in Eukaryota, Metazoa, Chordata, Actinopteri, Osteoglossiformes, Mormyridae. The record is from RefSeq and is a predicted model, not a curated record.
CCUUCUUGCUGUACAUGCUGUAUGUAUGUGAGAUGGGUGCUCCCUGAUUGCAAUCAGAAUAGACAAUAAACUGGUGACUUGCAACUACUCCUCGAGUGUGCAGUGAAUCUCUUCUCAUCAACGGACCCGGCGGAGUUAGACUCCAACAAUUUGGGGGCUCGUCCGGGAUGAGCAAGAGAUUCCCCAGAAUCCAGUUCAAGUUGACGCAGCCUGCCUGGACACAGAAAAACUGCGGGCCCGACUAGAAGAGGUAAGCAGAGCCUGUUAUGCCGAAAUCUGCAUAUUGGAAAUUUCAAAUUGAGCGGUUUGAAGUGUCCAGCGGCCCGUCUGUAAAUUCAUACAGAGAGGAGACUGCGGGUACCAGACGUAUGUAGCUUUGAUGUAUUAUGUAUAAGGAAUAAGUGCAUCUGGUAUAUGUAAAAUAGGAUUUUAGGAAACGGAGGGUUUGGAACCCUGCCGUAGGGUAGGACCUUUAGGAGCGGAGGGUACGAAACCCCCGCGUUGUCUUUGGUGUGGCAACCCCACUACUGGCUGACGAGCGGUAGAGAAGCUGGGUGAGAGUCCCGGAGAAUUCAAGACCCCCGAAAUCUAAAUUGGCGUGAGGGAAUAAGGUCCCCCUCUAUAAAAUGGGUUGGAGUCCCUGGGUCGAAGUCCCAAAUGUACCGGGUUUGAGUCCCGAGACUAGGAGUCUCAAAGUACUACUUUGUAUAUUAUUGUGCUGAUUUGUGAGUGAAUAACGCUGUGGGCUUUUCCUGUCUUGGGUGCUUAUCACUCGCUCCCUGCUGGUUUGCCUGGAAUCGAGCUUGUGAGGCGCGCCCUACUCAGGAGAGACUCAGCGAUCCAGGAAACGAGACCGGGGAACCAGCCACCCGAACCACACACGGCGGAGUGGGUCCUCCUGAAAGUCAUCAAACGAAAGUGGUCAGAACCCAGGUGAACCGGCCCCUUCCGAGUGACGGAGAGGACGUCACACGCGGUUCGUCUAAAAGGCAAAGGUGACACGUGGUUCCACUGGAGCCAGUGUGCAGCUGCGGAGGAGCCAGGAAGAACCACUACAGAGAUCCAGAAGGACCUCGGAGAAGACACGCAGAGCGUCAGUUCGGCUGAACCAGACGCAGCUCAGGUCUCUACAGAAGGGCAGAAUAAUCCCUUGACCUGAGCAGAUCAGCAGGGUGAUCUACCCCUCGCUGGUCAAAGAAGUCAUCACCUCCUCCGUCCCAGAUCAACAGGACCAGGAUGCAGAGUUUCAAAAUGAAAAGGGGAAGAGGGGGGAAUUUCAACUUAUCCAUAAUCUUUUAAAUCUCUAUUACUUAUUGCUGGCCCAGGAUAUAAAGAGUUCAUUUUUUUCUUAAAAACCGUUGCGGAUGUGUGGUGAAUGCAGAUUUAAUAAUUUACCAUUUCAAAUAAAAUGGUAAAUACUCAUGCAGAAACUGAAGGUUACUUUCAUAAGAGAUUAAAUUUUAUAUUCAUAGUAAAUAUUAUAUGUAUUAUUAUAUUCAUAAUACAUGGUCUUUACAACUGGAUGCAUGCUUGUCAUAUUUUGCAAACAUUCAUUAGCGUACGUUAUUUAUUUGCGUCCGUCCCCUGCGAGAAAUAAGUGAAUGAAUGCCGCGUGAACGCGCUUGUCACCAGUUAACAGAAUCCCCACUUUAACAACACCGGCUCGCAGGAUCUUCACUGCUGAGGACCCGAGUGGCUGGACCAGGCCAAGGGGACGCCCACAUAACACCUGGCUGCAGCAGAUAGAUGGACACUUGGGUUGAAAUUGAUUGCAUGUCGGCCCGGUGGGCUGCUACCCAGCGUGACCUUACCUGUUUAAACUUUAGACCUACAAUAAACAGAAAUCUUACAAUUGUCAGCGCAUUAAAUAAAUAACGAUACAUUACAGACUUACUCAUGAUGAAUCUGACAUUCAAAACUGAUCCAUACACCUUUCAGAAUUAUUUUCUGUCUUUCACAAUGAGAAAUCUCCGCUACAAAAAACCCAUCAGAUUAUAUCUCCAGUGCUUUCAUCACAGCCGGAGCGGAUUCUGCGCAAAUGAAAGUGUGCUUCAUCCUGGCUGGAUUUAAUUUGGCUUGACUGGGUGUGCAGUGAAAAAUCCUGGGUGACAUAUUGUUGAAAAAUUGUGAAUCACAAUAAAACAAAUAUUUUUCCAAAUGA